RNAcentral lists this ribosomal RNA (493 nucleotides) under uncultured bacterium. RNAcentral's name for it is "bacterial SSU rRNA". It matches the Rfam family "Bacterial small subunit ribosomal RNA", at positions 28 to 526 of the family's 1533-position model. The record is from RNAcentral.
GACGAACGCUGGCGGCGUGCCUAACACAUGCAAGUCGAGCGAAGUUUAUUUAGCAGCGACUUCGGUCAAAGCUGAUUAAACUUAGCGGCGAACGGGUGAGUAACACGUAGGCAACCUGCCCAUGACACGGGGAUAGCUUCGGGAAACCGGAGGUAAUACCCGAUACCUUUACUUAUUGCAUGAUAAGUAAAGAAAGCGAAUAGCGGUCAUGGAUGGGCCUGCGUCCCAUUAGCUAGUUGGUGAGAUAACAGCCCACCAAGGCGACGAUGGGUAGCCGACCUGAGAGGGUGACCGGCCACACUGGAACUGAGACACGGUCCAGACUCCUACGGGAGGCAGCAGUGGGGAAUCUUGCGCAAUGGGCGAAAGCCUGACGCAGCGACGCCGCGUGAGCGAAGAAGGCCUUGGGUCGUAAAGCUCAGUCAUGGGGAUGAGAUGACAGUACCCAAGGAGGAAGCCCCGGCUAACUACGUGCCAGCAGCCGCGGUAAAAU